UCUGAAGCUUUCGUUCGAUUUCUUCUCUAAAUUUUGCAGAGUUAUCCUGUCAGGCAUCAUUUCUGAGACAUGAUUGUAUUGUCUCAGGAAAGCCUGUGCUAAAUCCCUCCAAGUAGCAAUUUUAGCUCGGCUCAGCUGAUUGUACCACUUUGACGCCGCUCCCGUAAGACUUUCCUGAAAGCAAUGUAUUAAUAAUUGAUCAUUAUUAAUAUACCCCGUCAUUCUUCUACAAAACAUAGUAAUAUGGGAUCCUGGGCAACUAGUCCCGUUGUAUUUCUCGAAUUCCGGCAUCUUAAAUUUGUAAGGGAGCACCAAGUCCGGAACCAAGCUC
This 331-nucleotide long non-coding RNA is filed under the name Gossypium raimondii (Peruvian cotton). RNAcentral's name for it is "long non-coding RNA (GRAI_LNC004959)". Lineage: Eukaryota; Viridiplantae; Streptophyta; Magnoliopsida; Malvales; Malvaceae. The record is from RNAcentral.